GCGGUGAGCAUGUGGUUUAAUUCGAUGAUACGCGAAAACCUUACCUGGGCUUGAACUGUACCUGACAGGUGUAGAGAUACACUCUUCUUCGGACAGGUAUAGAGGUGCUGCAUGGUUGUCGUCAGCUCGUGUCGUGAGAUGUUGGGUUAAGUCCCGCAACGAGCGCAACCCUUACUCUCUGUUGCCAUCAGGUAAUGCUGAGCACUCUGAGGGAACUGCCGGUGACAAACCGGAGGAAGGUGGGGAUGACGUCAAAUCAUCACGGCCCUUACGUCCAGGGCUACACACGUGCUACAAUGGCCGGUACAAAGAGCUGCGAUGCCGCGAGGUGGAGCUAAUCUCAAAAAACCGGUCUCAGUUCGGAUUGCAGUCUGCAACUCGACUGCAUGAAGUUGGAAUCGCUAGUAAUCGUAGAUCAGCACGCUACGGUGAAUACGUUCCCGGGCCUU
RNAcentral lists this ribosomal RNA (449 nucleotides) under uncultured Leptospiraceae bacterium. RNAcentral's name for it is "bacterial SSU rRNA". It matches the Rfam family "Bacterial small subunit ribosomal RNA", at positions 929 to 1382 of the family's 1533-position model. Lineage: Bacteria; Pseudomonadati; Spirochaetota; Leptospiria; Leptospirales; Leptospiraceae. The record is from RNAcentral.